RNAcentral lists this ribosomal RNA (484 nucleotides) under uncultured bacterium. RNAcentral's name for it is "partial 16S ribosomal RNA". It matches the Rfam family "Bacterial small subunit ribosomal RNA", at positions 30 to 507 of the family's 1533-position model. The record is from RNAcentral.
AUUGAACGCUGGCGGCAGGCCUAACACAUGCAAGUCGAGCGGAUGAAGGGAGCUUGCUCCUGUAUUCAGCGGCGGACGGGUGAGUAAUGCCUAGGAAUCUGCCUGGUAGUGGGGGAUAACGUCCGGAAACGGGCGCUAAUACCGCAUACGUCCUGAGGGAGAAAGUGGGGGAUCUUCGGACCUCACGCUAUCAGAUGAGCCUAGGUCGGAUUAGCUAGUUGGUGGGGUAAAGGCCUACCAAGGCGACGAUCCGUAACUGGUCUGAGAGGAUGAUCAGUCACACUGGAACUGAGACACGGUCCAGACUCCUACGGGAGGCAGCAGUGGGGAAUAUUGGACAAUGGGCGAAAGCCUGAUCCAGCCACGCCGCGUGUGUGAAGAAGGUCUUCGGAUUGUAAAGCACUUUAAGUUGGGAGGAAGGGCAGUAAGUGAAUACCUUGCUGUUUUGACGUUACCAACAGAAUAAGCACCGGCUAACUUCGUG